UUCGCUUCUCGGCCUUUUGGCUAAGAUCAAGUGUAGUAUCUGUUCUUAUCAGUAUAAUACUAUCAUUUAACAAACAUGGUAGAUAAAUAAAAAUGUACAAUUUUCACAGCCUUC
This 114-nucleotide small nuclear RNA is filed under the name Canis lupus familiaris (dog). Its description in RNAcentral is "U2 spliceosomal RNA (ENSCAFG00040012754.1)". It matches the Rfam family "U2 spliceosomal RNA". Rfam says of the family: U2 is a small nuclear RNA (snRNA) component of the spliceosome (involved in pre-mRNA splicing). Lineage: Eukaryota; Metazoa; Chordata; Mammalia; Carnivora; Canidae. The record is from RNAcentral.